AUUGAACGCUGGCGGCAUGCCUUACACAUGCAAGUCGAACGGCAGCACGGGAGCAAUCCUGGUGGCGAGUGGCGAACGGGUGAGUAAUGUAUCGGAACGUACCUUUCAGUGGGGGAUAACGUAGCGAAAGUUACGCUAAUACCGCAUAUUCUGUGAGCAGGAAAGCAGGGGAUCGCAAGACCUUGCGCUGAUUGAGCGGCCGAUAUCAGAUUAGCUAGUUGGUGAGGUAAAGGCUCACCAAGGCGACGAUCUGUAGCGGGUCUGAGAGGAUGAUCCGCCACACUGGAACUGAGACACGGUCCAGACUCCUACGGGAGGCAGCA
This 323-nucleotide ribosomal RNA is filed under the name uncultured bacterium. Its description in RNAcentral is "bacterial SSU rRNA". It matches the Rfam family "Bacterial small subunit ribosomal RNA", at positions 30 to 353 of the family's 1533-position model. The record is from RNAcentral.